RNAcentral lists this ribosomal RNA (207 nucleotides) under uncultured bacterium. RNAcentral describes it as "partial 16S ribosomal RNA". It matches the Rfam family "Bacterial small subunit ribosomal RNA", at positions 568 to 774 of the family's 1533-position model. The record is from RNAcentral.
UACGUAGGCUGUUAUUUAAGUCAGAUGUGAAAGCCCCGGGCUUAACCUGGGAACUGCAUUUGAUACUGGGUAACUAGAGUCUGGUAGAGGGUAGUGGAAUUCCACGUGUAGCGGUGAAAUGCGUAGAUAUGUGGAGGAACAUCAGUGGCGAAGGCGACCGCCUGGACCAAGACUGACGCUGAGGUACGAAAGCGUGGGGAGCAAACA